ACUGUGAAAGCACUGAAAGGCGGCUUUUGCCGAUCGAGAAGAGCAAAGCUUGCCCUUUCAUGGCCGCCAUGGGGUAGCUUUACACCCCCUCUCCCUUUCUGCUCCGCUGUUCACUGAUGGUGUGCGCGUUAGUGGCGAUCCAUCAUCCGUCAUCUCCCCUCGCAAUCACAUGCUCGCCAGGGACGCCAUGACAACGACCGGUUACCUGAGGCGGAGGCCAGCGCCGGGAACCGGGGGCACCCGCACACGGCGACACGCAGCCGAAGACGCUGCUGACUUUGACGGGAUCAACACAGCAAAGGAUGGUUUCUGUGC
This 315-nucleotide long non-coding RNA is filed under the name Hordeum vulgare. Its description in RNAcentral is "long non-coding RNA (HVUL_LNC002831)". Lineage: Eukaryota; Viridiplantae; Streptophyta; Magnoliopsida; Poales; Poaceae. The record is from RNAcentral.